UGUCAUGUAAACUAAAACCAGAUUCAUUCCCUUCAUCUUCAUCAUCAUUCCUCAAGCAUUCAUCAAUAUCAUUAGCAUCAAGAGGAUUAUUAGUAUCAUUACUAGUACCAACACCAAUAUUAUGAACAUUAGUGCUACUACUAGUACCAACACCAAUAUCAUCAAUUUGAAUAUCCAAAUCAUCUUCAAUACCAUGACUCUCCAUUUCAACAUCAUUAGGAAUUUCUUCUUCAUCACUUUCAUCUUCAUCACCAUUUUGUCUUCGUGUUGCACUGUCAAU
RNAcentral lists this long non-coding RNA (280 nucleotides) under Populus tremula. RNAcentral's name for it is "long non-coding RNA (PTRE_LNC002184)". The record is from RNAcentral. Lineage: Eukaryota; Viridiplantae; Streptophyta; Magnoliopsida; Malpighiales; Salicaceae.